CAGCCGCCGCGGUAAUACGAAGGGUGCAAGCGUUACUCGGAAUUACUGGGCGUAAAGCGUGCGUAGGCGGCUUCUUAAGUCGGAUGUGAAAUCCCUGAGCUUAACUUAGGAAUUGCAUUCGAUACUGGGAAGCUAGAGUAUGGGAGAGGAUGGUAGAAUUCCAGGUGUAGCGGUGAAAUGCGUAGAGAUCUGGAGGAAUACCGAUGGCGAAGGCAGCCAUCUGGCCUAAUACUGACGCUGAGGUACGAAAGCAUGGGGAGCAAACAGGAUUAGAUACCCGCGUAGUCCCUGUCUCUUAUAC
This 301-nucleotide ribosomal RNA is filed under the name uncultured bacterium. RNAcentral's name for it is "partial 16S ribosomal RNA". It matches the Rfam family "Bacterial small subunit ribosomal RNA", at positions 509 to 807 of the family's 1533-position model. The record is from RNAcentral.